AUAAUCACAUUCAGAAGUAAUAAAUAUUUCUAAAAAUAAAAAAUUAUGAAAAAAAAAAAAAAUGUAAACUCAUGGAUUUACUGGUAAAGUGAAUUUGAAUUUGAAGAAACAAAUUUCUUAGACGUUCCUUUUUUUUUUUCCUUAAUCUUUUAAGUCAUUUAUUAACUUUUUCAGUGCAUAAUUUGGUUAAAAUUACCAUCAGAGAGGUCCAAUUAGUGGUGUUAAAAUGUCGUCAGCUGAUAUCAAUCGAAAGAUAAAGAAAAAAGACAAAAUGGGUUUUUAGAGCAUUAUUUCGCGUUAUUUCAUGUGCGAAUGACAGUUACCGCCCAAGUUACGGCAUGAAUUAUCAACUGAUGACAAGAACAGAUUCAGGCCAACUGCUGACAAUGUUGUUUUAGAAUAUCUUUUUUUUAUUAUUUUAUUAUUAUUAUUUUUUUUCUUUUAAUAUUUUUCUAAAAAUUGUUUCUCCGACGUAGCUAGAUUUGUUUCGCUGACUGAACAACAUUAAGAAGCGAAAUUACUUUAAAAAAUAAUAAUUUAAUUUCAAAAUCCGGGUAGUAAAAUUUUAAUUGGAAAUUGUAAAAAGUUGAAGAAUUGUCUGGAAUGUUAUGAAACCUAUCAUUCAUUUUGCGAACGAUUCUUGUUUUAAUGAGUGUUCGCUAUAAAGUUAAUUUCCGUUUCGAGAAAUGCUGUAAAAAAAAAGAUAAAAUUAAUAUGUAGAUGUCUGAAAUUGUAUUCUCGACCAAGAAGACUUUAUACAAUUUUUUUUUUCUUUGUUUAAUCGAUAUAUUCCGAAGAAGUCGACACUGAAUUAUUCCUUUAUUACUGCAUCGAGGUACAUUAAGGGAAAAGAAUAUAUGCUAAACAAUUUCGAUUGUUUUUUUCCCCUUCGAUAGUCGACUUAACUGUUUGUCUGUUCUGUUCAGAACACUAAGUUUCUUCAUUAAGGAUUACUGCGACAAACAACAGUAAUCUCUUUGUGUGAUCUCCAUGUCCUCCCCUUGUCAACGUCGUGUAAGCCCUGCAUGUGGUUCUCCACUGGAUACACUAUCUAAAUAAUGAAAGCAAGUGUGAAAGUUUCUAAUUUAAUGUACUUUCGUUUACUAGGAAGUUUUCUUUUUUUGUUUUUUUUUUUAUUUCUGGCUUUAGGUGGUCAGCGGCGAAAUAACUUGCUUGGAGAUGCCGAAGAAAGUGAUAGAACCACGUUUUUAUCGCAUUCCUAUCAAACAUUGCUAUAUAACAAUAGAAAACAGCUUUUACUCUCCAGUGUCGUUCUCUAUUAAAGCCAGUAAUUUUGUCCGUUAUAUCUAUAAAACCACCUGGAUGACUUCCAUUGUGUUUAAUGUAUUGGGAACACUUCCAGGCUUUUGUCUUGAUCUGCUCUGUUGGGUAUUUGGAACACUUUGAUCUUAACAAAAAACUCUAUUUCUGCAAACAAAUUUCGUUCAUUAUUAAAUCCUUUGUCUGCAAAUUACUUACAAAUAUUCCAAAGCUGUAGGCUGUAACUACAAUCGAUUUAAAGAUAUAUCUACUCAAUUACUGUUAAAAUUUGUAACUUUCGGAAAGUUAC
This 1570-nucleotide long non-coding RNA is filed under the name Androctonus crassicauda. Lineage: Eukaryota; Metazoa; Arthropoda; Arachnida; Scorpiones; Buthidae. The record is from RNAcentral.